CAGUAGCCGCGGUAAUACGUAGGGUGCGAGCGUUAAUCGGAAUUACUGGGCGUAAAGCGUGCGCAGGCGGUUAUAUAAGACAGAUGUGAAAUCCCCGGGCUCAACCUGGGACCUGCAUUUGUGACUGUAUAGCUAGAGUACGGUAGAGGGGGAUGGAAUUCCGCGUGUAGCAGUGAAAUGCGUAGAUAUGCGGAGGAACACCGAUGGCGAAGGCAAUCCCCUGGACCUGUACUGACGCUCAUGCACGAAAGCGUGGGGAGCGAACAGGAUUAGAUACCCCCGUAGUCCCUGUCUCUUAUAC
RNAcentral lists this ribosomal RNA (301 nucleotides) under uncultured bacterium. RNAcentral's name for it is "partial 16S ribosomal RNA". It matches the Rfam family "Bacterial small subunit ribosomal RNA", at positions 509 to 807 of the family's 1533-position model. The record is from RNAcentral.